This 631-nucleotide ribosomal RNA is filed under the name uncultured bacterium. RNAcentral describes it as "bacterial SSU rRNA". The stretch from base 1 to 537 matches the Rfam family "Bacterial small subunit ribosomal RNA", at positions 338 to 873 of the family's 1533-position model. The record is from RNAcentral.
CCUACGGGAGGCAGCAGUGGGGAAUUUUGGACAAUGGGCGCAAGCCUGAUCCAGCAAUGCCGCGUGAGUGAAGAAGGCCUUCGGGUUGUAAAGCUCUUUUGUCAGGGAAGAAACGGUCUACUCUAAUACAGUGGGCUAAUGACGGUACCUGAAGAAUAAGCACCGGCUAACUACGUGCCAGCAGCCGCGGUAAUACGUAGGGUGCAAGCGUUAAUCGGAAUUACUGGGCGUAAAGCGUGCGCAGGCGGUUAUAUAAGUCAGAUGUGAAAUCCCCGGGCUCAACCUGGGAACUGCAUUUGAGACUGUAUGGCUAGAGUGUGUCAGAGGGGGGUAGAAUUCCACGUGUAGCAGUGAAAUGCGUAGAUAUGUGGAGGAAUACCGAUGGCGAAGGCAGCCCCCUGGGAUAACACUGACGCUCAUGCACGAAAGCGUGGGGAGCAAACAGGAUUAGAUACCCUGGUAGUCCACGCCCUAAACGAUGUCUACUAGUUGUCGGUACUUAAUUGUNUUGUACGUCAGCGACGCGNGAGAGACGCCGCGGGUAAGGUACGGUCGCGAGAAGUUAAACGUUAACGUAAAGUUAGAGUUAGUACGGCGNGAGACGNGCGACGGACGACGACGAGGGAGGAGG